Molecule: ribosomal RNA, 258 nt
Filed under: uncultured bacterium
Lineage: Bacteria
Description: partial 16S ribosomal RNA
Rfam family: Bacterial small subunit ribosomal RNA
Source: RNAcentral
CGAACGGGUGAGUAACGCGUGAGGAACCUGCCUCAAAGAGGGGGACAACAGUUGGAAACGACUGCUAAUACCGCAUAAGCCCACGGUGCCGCAUGGCACAGAGGGAAAAGGAGCAAUCCGCUUUGAGACGGCCUCGCGUCCGAUUAGCUAGUUGGUGAGGUAACGGCCCACCAAGGCAACGAUCGGUGGCCGGACUGAGAGGUUGAACGGCCACAUUGGGACUGAGACACGGCCCAGACUCCUACGGGAGGCAGCAUG